UACGUAGGGUGCAAGCGUUAAUCGGAAUUACUGGGCGUAAAGCGUGCGCAGGCGGUUAUGUAAGACAGAUGUGAAAUCCCCGGGCUCAACCUGGGAACUGCAUUUGUGACUGCAUAGCUAGAGUACGGUAGAGGGGGAUGGAAUUCCGCGUGUAGCAGUGAAAUGCGUAGAUAUGCGGAGGAACACCGAUAGCGAAGGCAAUCCCCUGGACCUGGUACUGACGCUCAUGCACGAAAGCGUGGGGAGCAAACAGG
Molecule: ribosomal RNA, 254 nt
Filed under: uncultured bacterium
Lineage: Bacteria
Description: partial 16S ribosomal RNA
Rfam family: Bacterial small subunit ribosomal RNA
Source: RNAcentral